Molecule: ribosomal RNA, 468 nt
Filed under: uncultured bacterium
Lineage: Bacteria
Description: partial 16S ribosomal RNA
Rfam family: Bacterial small subunit ribosomal RNA
Source: RNAcentral
GACGAACGCUGGCGGCGUGCUUAACACAUGCAAGUCGAACGGAAAGGCCCUGCUUUUGUGGGGUGCUCGAGUGGCGAACGGGUGAGUAACACGUGAGUAACCUGCCCUUGACUUUGGGAUAACUUCAGGAAACUGGGGCUAAUACCGGAUAGGAGCUCCUGCUGCAUGGUGGGGGUUGGAAAGUUUCGGCGGUUGGGGAUGGACUCGCGGCUUAUCAGCUUGUUGGUGGGGUAGUGGCUUACCAAGGCUUUGACGGGUAGCCGGCCUGAGAGGGUGACCGGCCACAUUGGGACUGAGGUACGGCCCAGACUCCAACGGGAGGCAGCAGGGGGGAAUAUUGCACAAUGGGCGGAAGCCUGAUGCAGCAACGCCGCGAGCGGGAUGACGGCCUUCGGGUGGUAAACCGCUUUCGCCUGUGACGAAGCGUGAGUGACGGUAAUGGGUAAAGAAGCACCGGCUAACUACGUG